UACGAAGGGUCCUAGCGUUGUUCGGAAUUACUGGGCGUAAAGGGCGCGUAGGCGGCUUACUAAGUCAGGUGUGAAAUCCCCGAGCUUAACUUGGGAAUUGCAUUUGAUACUGGUAAGCUAGAGUUCGAGAGAGGUGAGUAGAAUUCCUAGUGUAGAGGUGGAAUUCGUAGAUAUUAGGAAGAAUACCAGAGGCGAAGGCGGCUCACUGGCUCGAUACUGACGCUAAGGCGCGAAAGCGUGGGGAGCAAACAGG
RNAcentral lists this ribosomal RNA (253 nucleotides) under uncultured bacterium. RNAcentral describes it as "partial 16S ribosomal RNA". It matches the Rfam family "Bacterial small subunit ribosomal RNA", at positions 524 to 776 of the family's 1533-position model. The record is from RNAcentral.